GUGCUCGCUUUGGCAGCACAUAUACUAAAAUUGGAAUGAUACAGAGAAAGAUUAGCAUGGCCCCUGUGCAAAGAUAAUACAUAAAUUUGCGAGGCGUUCCAUAUUUUG
This is a small nuclear RNA of Cercocebus atys (sooty mangabey), 108 nucleotides long. The record is from Ensembl. NCBI's taxonomy places the organism in Eukaryota, Metazoa, Chordata, Mammalia, Primates, Cercopithecidae.